CCUCAGUGUGCAGUUUUUCUAAAGCGUUGAGAAGAUAAAAAACAUGGUCAACUCAAAAUUCGUUCUUUUGGCUUUCAUAGCUCUGUCUCUUUUUCUUUCCGGUGCUGAAACAAGAGAUACUGUGUGGUCUGGCUCUAAAUUAUCUUCAUUUUGUUGCAUCAGUCAGCCUCAAUUAGGAGCUUGUGAUACAAAACAACAGAAUGAUAGAUGUGAGAAGCUGUGCAUCCGUGGUUGUAGCCUAAACAAAGGCGGCGGCUGUCAACCUGUUCCUACUGGUUCUGUUUGUUCAUGUUACUGUUAAACUAGCGUCAUGAAAAAUUAUGCUCUUUUUUCUUUGAUUAUUUAUUAAUAAAACAUAUUCUUUUGUUAUGCUCCA
This is a long non-coding RNA of Brassica napus (rape), 376 nucleotides long. RefSeq lists it as uncharacterized. The transcript is spliced from 2 exons. Lineage: Eukaryota; Viridiplantae; Streptophyta; Magnoliopsida; Brassicales; Brassicaceae. The record is from RefSeq and is a predicted model, not a curated record.